AACACGUGGGGAACCUGCCCCAUAGUCUGGGAUACCACUUGGAAACAGGUGCUAAUACCGGAUAAGAAAGCGGAUCGCAUGAUCAGCUUUUAAAAGGCGGCGUAAGCUGUCGCUAUGGGAUGGCCCCGCGGUGCAUUAGCUAGUUGGUAAGGUAAAGGCUUACCAAGGCGAUGAUGCAUAGCCGAGUUGAGAGACUGAUCGGCCACAUUGGGACUGAGACACGGCCCAAACUCCUACGGGAGGCAGCAGAA
RNAcentral lists this ribosomal RNA (251 nucleotides) under uncultured Lactobacillus sp. RNAcentral's name for it is "partial 16S ribosomal RNA". It matches the Rfam family "Bacterial small subunit ribosomal RNA", at positions 112 to 354 of the family's 1533-position model. Lineage: Bacteria; Bacillati; Bacillota; Bacilli; Lactobacillales; Lactobacillaceae. The record is from RNAcentral.